RNAcentral lists this ribosomal RNA (254 nucleotides) under uncultured bacterium. Its description in RNAcentral is "partial 16S ribosomal RNA". It matches the Rfam family "Bacterial small subunit ribosomal RNA", at positions 524 to 776 of the family's 1533-position model. The record is from RNAcentral.
GACGAGGGGUCCAAGCGUUGUUCGGAAUCAUUGGGCGUAAAGCGGGUGUAGGUGGCUCUAUAAGUCAGAAGUGAAAGCCCCGGGCUUAACCCGGGAAGUGCUUUUGAUACUGCAGAGCUUGAAUGUGGGAGAGGGUAGUGGAAUUCCGAGGUGUAGUGGUGAAAUACGUAGAUAUCUGGAGGAACACCGGUGGCGAAGGCGGCUACCUGGCCCAACAUUGACACUGAGACCCGAAAGCGUGGGGAGCAAACAGG